This 909-nucleotide long non-coding RNA is filed under the name Calidris pugnax (ruff). RNAcentral's name for it is "lncRNA (ENSCPUG00000007406.1)". Lineage: Eukaryota; Metazoa; Chordata; Aves; Charadriiformes; Scolopacidae. The record is from RNAcentral.
CAUAGCCCACCCUACAGCCACAUAUCCCACCCUACAGCCNNNNNNNNNNNNNNNNNNNNNNNNNNNNNNNNNNNNNNNNNNNNGACACAGGGACCUUCUGGGGACAUGGGGAACCUCUGGGGACAUGGGGGUGGCAGGAGGACCCCAAGGAGACACAGGGACCUUCUGGGGACAUGGGGUGGCAGGGGGACCUUCUGGGGACAUGGGGACCUUCUGGGGACGUGGGGGUGGCAGGAGGACCCAAGGGGACCCGCAGGUGGCAGGAGGACCCCAAGGAGACACAGGGACCUUCUGGGGACAUGGGGUGGCAGGAGGACCCCAAGGGGACAUAAGGACCUUCUGGGGACAUGGGGGUGGCAGGAGGACCCCAGGGGGACAUGGGGGUGGCAGGGGGGUCUUCUGAGGACAUGGGGAGCUUCUGGGGACAUGGGGGUGGCAGGAGGACCCCAAGGAGACAUAAGGACCUUCUGGGGACAUGGGGACCCUCUGGGGACAUGGAGGUGACAGGAGGACCCAAGGGGACCCGAAGGUGGCAGGAGGACCCAAGGAGACACAGGGACCUUCUGGGGACAUGGGGGUGACAGGGGGGCCUUCUGAGGACAUGGGGAACCUCUGGGGACAUGGGGGUGGCAGGAGGACCCCAAGGAGACACAGGGACCUUCUGGGGACAUGGGGACCCUCUGGGGACAUGGGGGUGGCAGGAGGACCCCAAGGGGACACAGGGACCUUCUGGGGACAUGGGGAACCUCUGGGGACAUGGGGGUGGCAGGAGGACCCCAAGGGACAUGGGGAGCUUCUGGGGACCUGGUUGUGGCAGGAGGACCCCAGGAGGACAUGGGGGUGGCAGGAGGACCCCAAGGGACAUGGAGACCCUCUGGAGAUGUGGCAGUGGCAGGAGGACCUCCUGGG